GAUGAAGAACGCAGCGAAAUGCGAUAAGUAAUGUGAAUUGCAGAAUUCAGUGAAUCAUCGAAUCUUUGAACGCACAUUGCGCCCGCCAGCAUUCUGGCGGGCAUGCCUGUUCGAGCGUCAUUUCAACCCUCGACUUCCCUUUGGGGAAGUCGGCGUUGGGGACCGGCCGUAUACCGCCGGCCCCGAAAUGAAGUGGCGGCCCGUCCGCGGCGACCUCUGCGUAGUAAUCCAACUCGCACCGGAACCCCGACGUGGCCACGCCGUAAAACCCCCGACUUCUGAACGUUGACCUCGGAUCAGGUAGGAAUACCCGCUGAACUUAAGCAUAUCAAUAACGGAGGA
This 342-nucleotide unclassified non-coding RNA is filed under the name soil metagenome. RNAcentral's name for it is "partial contains 5.8S ribosomal RNA, internal transcribed spacer 2, and large subunit ribosomal RNA". The stretch from base 1 to 120 matches the Rfam family "5.8S ribosomal RNA", at positions 35 to 154 of the family's 154-position model. The record is from RNAcentral.